Long non-coding RNA from Aegilops tauschii subsp. strangulata, 539 nucleotides. RefSeq lists it as uncharacterized. The record is from RefSeq and is a predicted model, not a curated record. Lineage: Eukaryota; Viridiplantae; Streptophyta; Magnoliopsida; Poales; Poaceae.
UCCAGUUCGUUCGUCGUAGGGACGCGCCCGCGCGGGCGCGCGUUCACGACAAGUCAACCGCCACCUUAUUCACUCCCCUCUUGGCACUAUCAUUUCGGUUCCAUUUUUCGCGGUCAUCCUCACAAAGAGGGAGAGACGAGCUGCUCGUUGAUGGGUUUUCUCCGUCGCCGCACCAAGCCUCCCGAUGGACAUAUCGAGCAGCCGCCGCAGCUCGUCGGCCACCAUGGAGCUUUGAUCUGGUGCUUCCCGCCACCGUCCGUCGCCGGGAACGCCGCGCCCGACCAGCUAUCCUCUAGAUCAGCACCCCGUUCUAGCGGCAGACGUCGGUCGCCGUCUUCCCCAACCGCUGCGCCGCUCACUGCCGCACCCAGUGUGCGAGCUUCAGCGGCAACGACUCCUCGUGUGGUCCGCGCAUCACCGAUUCGGCCUGGUGAGAUGUUGCUUGUACCACAUAUUCUUUCAGAGUGACUGAGCCACCCGAUUUUUCUGGUUAUGUACAUGUACUGGAUUUUGUCUAAUUGAGGUUCUAUUUGACACAA